Myotis davidii is the source of this 175-nucleotide long non-coding RNA. RefSeq lists it as uncharacterized. The record is from RefSeq and is a predicted model, not a curated record. Lineage: Eukaryota; Metazoa; Chordata; Mammalia; Chiroptera; Vespertilionidae. The transcript has 5 exons.
CACGGCUGAAAGCUUCUACUAAGCACCUCUACCUAGAAAGCAGACCAGAAGCACGUCUGAGAUGCUCUGCCUGUAUCUGGUUCAUCCCUUCCAACCUGGUGACUCUGUUUGGGUAAAGAAAUUUGCCACCCAAGGACUGACUCCCACCUGGAAAGGACCACCCCCAGGCAGUCAA